This is a non-coding RNA of Anas platyrhynchos (mallard), 1543 nucleotides long. The record is from RefSeq and is a predicted model, not a curated record. NCBI's taxonomy places the organism in Eukaryota, Metazoa, Chordata, Aves, Anseriformes, Anatidae.
GGUGCAAAUUUUCAGAGAGAUGAGUGUUUUGCUUGAGGGCAGAAUGGAUUGUUGCAGGGAUUGACUGUGACACCUGUGUCAAAUGAGAGUGAGGAGAGCAUAGCGAGUUUUAUGGGCAUUCGUAAUGCUCUGAAGAUUACUUGAUUUAACUUUGGAAAAGUCAAGGCCCAGUCAUCUCCCUCAGAAAGUCAUUCCCUGUGCAUGGCUGGCCUGAGCCAACAUACUGCGUGGCAACGUGCCCAUUGUUUGCUGUGAAUUUAGAACCUGAAGCUAAGGAUGAAAGCCCUUGUCAGCUGUGCAGUACCAGUGGUCAGAUGGUCUGUCGCAUCUUGUAGGCUUAACAGUUUUGCUGAUAAAUCUAACUCGAUGCUAAUGGAUGUGCUGUAAUACAAUAUGGAACAGAAGCUAGGACCCCGUGGCCUGUCAUGGACCAUGUAAUUUAUGACUGAAACAUCUCAGAUAUUUAUGCUGACAAGAGAAAUACUUGAUAUUUCCUGCUAAUGUGCUAGCCCACUCUUCUGAUUCUAGAUGAUUUUUUGGCCUAUUUUAUUCCAUCUCCUUUACCACUCCUGCCAUCUACUCUGUCACUCAGAGCUGCCAGGGCUCUUUUGCUUCUGCUGCCCCAUUUAUUUUAACAGAGAGAGCAACUGGAUGACUGCAAUGGUUUGCCUAGAAAUAAAAUAGAUUCUCUCAUCAGUUAAAGCCAACACUGGUAUCCUUCUAAAAGUAAUGAUAUGUUCCAACUUCACAUGACUGGGCACAAUUUAGAAAUCAGAGUGAAAUUCUCUGGCCAACAUAAUGUAGGAAACUGGACUGGAGAACAGACAGUCCCUGGAGCCCCCAAAAUCUAUGAAAACAUGUCAAUCUUUUCUUCAGAUGUAGUCACUUUUGCUCUCCGAAUCUGGCAUUGGAACUUGCAUUUCUUCAAUUUGCAUUAAUCCUAAGAAGCCUCUGUAAAAAUAUUGAUUUGCAAUUUCUUUUCCAUAUAGACUGUAAAUAUUUUUUUUUUCCCUCUCUCAUUUCUGAUGCCUUCUUGUGUGGUUCCAGCAAUGUAUAGAUGGAGUGGCUUGGAUUGGUAAAGCAGCAGUUUUCACUUGAUUUCCAUUUUAUUAUUUGAAAGAGUAGCCAAUAAUUUGGCACAUUUUUUUUUUUUUUUUAAAAGAAAAUAUGACAUUAAUUUCACCUUUUUAACACAUUGUUCUAAGAAUGAAAGAAACCUAAUGUAACAAUAGGGAUAGGCAAGCAUUGCACAAUAUUUGAUAGUCUUUUCUGUGUUAAAUUCUGCUUUUCUUUUAAAAUAAGACAAGGACCACACUGUGUUAAAGUAUGGUUGUGCAGGAACGUUAAUCUUCUUUUCUUUUAAAUUGUGUGUUACUAAUGUCUCCCAAAUUUUUGCUUGCUUUUUGCUUGUAUUCAUCAAUGUUUUAAUGGUUUCAUAAAGUACAAAUCCUCACUGCAUUUUAACCAUCAGUCAUGUGUACAAAAAUCCUUUAAUUUUACCCUGCAUAGACACUGAAAUAAAGAGGAAAUUACAUAUUUAAAA